AUGGACUUGCCGCUAGCCCUCGCAGCGCUACUCCUCAUCCUCCUCGUGCUCCUCGCCGCCCCGCCGGCGGCGCUCCUCAUUGCCCUCCACCUGAACCGCCGCCACCGCCUCCGGAGGCCCCGGCUAACGCCGCCCGAGCCGGCGGCCGCGGCGCUCGAGCCGAGCGCGCCGGCCGAGGAGGACGAGGGCGGAGAGGACAAGAGGCGGCGGCGGAGGGCGAGGCGGAAGCAGCAGCCGAAGCAGGGCGGCGACGGGGCCGCCUCGCAGGCGGCGGGCGGCGUUAGCCACGACGCGCUGCCGCCGCGGCCCCGGUUCCCGCUCGCUUCGGUGGCCGGCGCGCUGCAGCGGCGGAUCACCGCGCGGUACGACGAGCUCGCGCGGGCCAGCCAGGUCCAGUCCCUCACCAUUGACCAGGUUGGUGGGUGCGCCCUAUGCAAUGCAACCCUUCUCGGCAUCCUUAUUAGCUUCCUUGCACUAAUGUGCUGA
This 486-nucleotide ribosomal RNA is filed under the name Triticum aestivum (bread wheat). Its description in RNAcentral is "partial small subunit ribosomal RNA". Lineage: Eukaryota; Viridiplantae; Streptophyta; Magnoliopsida; Poales; Poaceae. The record is from RNAcentral.